CACUCCUGCGGGAGGCAGCAGUGGGGAAUUUUGGACAAUGGGCGAAAGCCUGAUCCAGCCAUGCCGCGUGCAGGAUGAAGGCCUUCGGGUUGUAAACUGCUUUUGUACGGAACGAAACGGCCUUUUCUAAUAAAGAGGGCUAAUGACGGUACCGUAAGAAUAAGCACCGGCUAACUACGUGCCAGCAGCCGCGGUAAUACGUAGGGUGCAAGCGUUAAUCGGAAUUACUGGGCGUAAAGCGUGCGCAGGCGGUUAUGUAAGACAGUUGUGAAAUCCCCGGGCUCAACCUGGGAACUGCAUCUGUGACUGCAUAGCUAGAGUACGGUAGAGGGGGAUGGAAUUCCGCGUGUAGCAGUGAAAUGCGUAGAUAUGCGGAGGAACACCGAUGGCGAAGGCAAUCCCCUGGACCUGUACUGACGCUCAUGCACGAAAGCGUGGGGAGCAAACAGGAUUAGAAACCCGAGUAGUCCCAUGAU
Molecule: ribosomal RNA, 476 nt
Filed under: uncultured organism
Description: partial 16S ribosomal RNA
Rfam family: Bacterial small subunit ribosomal RNA
Source: RNAcentral